Danio rerio (zebrafish) is the source of this 2460-nucleotide non-coding RNA. Lineage: Eukaryota; Metazoa; Chordata; Actinopteri; Cypriniformes; Danionidae. The record is from RefSeq and is a predicted model, not a curated record.
AAUUUUAAGGAUUUAAGUUAAUAGAGCUCAAUUCAAUUAAUUAGUUACAGCAUUAGGGUUUACAGUGUAAAAUAUCCACUAUACUUUAAUUUAAUCUCAAAACAGACUAAAUAUAAAAGAAAUUCUAAGAUUUUAACUUUAAAUCAGCCCUUAGACCUUCUGAUGGCUCAAACCUUUUCAUAUUCAAAUGUCCUGACAGAGAGCAGAGAAAUCUCACCUCAGUGAUAAUAAGAUGCUCAGAAUGUGUUUGCUGUAUUUGCAUAAAACAAUAACAUUCUUCCAUUUGGCUACAAGCCUUUGCUGACCCUUUUGUUCUCCAUGCAACCUAAAAGCAAACACAGCCCUGAUCACAAGAUAAAAGCAUUAAGCUAAAAUGCACUGCCAUUCUAAAAACACUCUCCAGAGACCAGAUAUAAUUAUAUUUAAUACAUACUAUUUUUAAUAUAAUAUAAUUACAUUAGGAAUAAACAAUAAUGUACAUUAUAUUAUAAUCGCCAAUCAUGGCACUAAAGACCAAGGGUGAAACAUUCACCUUGAGGAGGUUUGCUUUCUUUAUGCUUAAUGAAAACACUGACAGAACUACUAUAGCAUAACUGAUUGUAAACCAAUAAAAUCCUCGCUGAAAAACACCACCUACAAUUAAAAUUUGAUCAGAGAGUUAAACUCACCAGAAAAAUAAUGAAAGGGGGAUGGAUAUGAUAACAUUCAGAGUUACCAAAGUUUUUAUGGGUCAAAAGAUCUAAGAAUCUGUGAGUCACACCAUAAAAUGACAACCGUUAAGCAGAGAACACCAAAAGGGUGAAAUGAUUUCUGCCAACAAAUCUGACUGUUAAUGAGAGCAAAAAAUGAACUAUGGGUAUCGGCCCAUUAGAUUGUGAACUGAAAUUAAUGAAAAAUCAUUGAUUGAUUCAGAAAAAUGUCCCCAGCGGAACUGGGAGAUAAUGCUCAGAAUACAGCAGACUGUAUAAACAGAUGUACACACUCACAAUAUGCUGAAAUCAACAACAGCAAUUCACAUCUGACCAGCAACAUCAUGUGGCUUCCAGAAUUAAUAUUGCAAGAUGAUGCAUUAACAUUAAUUCCACAUGAUUGAAUUUGAAACUGAUGAAAAUUCUAAAAAUGGUUCUCUCUGCUUUUGUUCUCAUCUUAGGCGGACCAAUAACAAAGAACACUCCAGAUCCGGUCCACAUCAAACAAAUACAAAUGAGGGCAACAAAAGGUUAAGCCAUAACCUGAGAGGCCAAAAGUCUUCCAUCUUGCAUCUCAAAGCAAGAACCCCUGUGGUGCUAACACCUCACCUGCAGUGAGUCCUCUGAAAAAAGUCUUUGAUCAGUCAUCAGAAUAACAAUUAUCCACAGCUGAUCUUAUCAAUGGAUUCAGCAUUGUAGGAGGCUUUGUGAUUUCACAAAACAGAGACAUGAAAGAUCUCAUAGUUAAAAUCUUCCCAAAUUGCUUAAUAGCAAUGGGACUAAAACCCUGGUUACCUAGAGGCGAUAAAGAACUUUACUGCAUUGUUCCUGCAAAGACCAAUAGCAACAGACUCUAUUGUCACGAAUCCUGGUGGCAUUUUUAAAUUUGUUUUUAUACUAUACACAUGUUAAACCACAUGUCCUGUAUGAAAAUGGAAUUAACUAUGUUGAAAUUCAUGAUAUUUGUUUCUUUGAUCUCCAAAAGUAGAAAACUCUGCUAUCCCCUGUAUAGCUGCAGUUUAAACUACAAACAGGAGUAUAGAGUGUGAUAAUUAAAUUAACCAUGAAAAUGCAUUUUUUACAGGAUCCAGCUUUGAACAUUGCACCUUAACAUGCUCCGUAAAAGAUAUUAUAUGGAAUCAAUUUGAGCCGGAACACACCUCAUGUUCACAUUCUUAUGCUGGCUCCCUGCUAAGACAGGACUAAAAUUUUGCAACACAAUUAUAAAAGUUGAUUACCAUUGUUCGGAGCAUUACACUGACACAUAGCCACAGGUAAACCCAGGCACAUAGAUAACACCUUAGUCUUCAAAGACCCAGGAGUCAAAUCUCCUUAAUUGAGAUCGUUUGUCCAUGUUUAUACAAACAAAACACAUUAGCCUCACACACAUAGAACAGAAUAAUUAAUCUGAUGACAGACGAGACAACAAACACCCUCUGACACCCUCUGUCAGCUGAAAAGAAAUUACACAUUUGCAUGGCUUUGACAACAAAUUGAUGGUAUAAAACUUCAAUAAAGGCGAAUUUGCCGAUAAAUUUAAGGAUAGAUACACUGACUGUUAUGAGGAUGGUUGACAAACCAGAGGGCCCCUGGUUUUCCAAUCUAUCACCAAUAACAGGUAUAAGUGCUAAAGUGAUUAAAAUUAAACCGAAGUGAGGACACUUCUAAUAAUCACUAGGACAUUUAAAUUUGACAAAUACCAUCAAUUGUGUUCAAGCCCCCCCACACGCACAUAAACACACACACACACACACACACACACACACACACA